AGUACAGUGUACACAGCCAAGCCGCUAUUUCCUUUCAGUACAAGCUAAACAUAGAUUCAAUGCACCAAAAGAAUGUGGGCAGCAUAAUUUUAUGCAUCUGUAAGAUUGCUUUAUCUCAUAAGAAGGCGUUUAAACAUCCCGCAAUGGCUGAAGCCUAUUAAAUGCAGGCGUAACUGCCAUUUCCAACGAACAGGUUCGUCUUUUCCAGAAUGUUGAGACAUGCUGAGUUCUGUCCAAACUCCUGUGUUGCUUUUAUCCCUCAGAGCAUCUCACUGUCCACUGCCAGCCAGCCCUGUUUUACCCUUUCAGCAAGGACACGCACGGGGAAAUUCUAGGCCUGACAGGAUUUUAGGGGAAGGUUAGCCACUGCUCUGUCUACUGAGGUAUAUGUUCUGGGACAACAGGACAGUGCCUCUAUCCCCAGGGCCUGGAACAGUGCCUGGGAUACAGUGACUGAACCCUUGUAAAUACCAGCUGGAUUUGCAACUGAGAGUUUCUCAGAGAUGAGCCAAUUUUACUUCAAAAGCGACAUCUACUCACCCAGACCCCAUUCGAAGAGAGCUGAGGAGAUCAAAAAUUAUUUUUAAGCAUUUAGAACUAUAAUUUAUUCUAUUCCAACUUCUUCUGAUAUUAUUUGUGAACCCCAUCGCUUCCUAUAACGUCCAAGGUUGCAUUACAAUUUUGCCUUUGUCCAUAAUAUUCUGGGCAGAAUGUUUUCCAUCCUGUGCUCCCAAAACACUUCAUACCUCACUCUACAACAACGACCCAAGUCCUCAGGAGGAACGGCAGCAAAGCAGGCGUGACAACGGGAGCAGGAAGCUGAGAGACUGUACCUUCCACUGCAGUCACAAAUCAGAGUGAGCUGCAAGUGAGGCUGGGCUAUGGACUCUCUCUGCCCUCCUCCAGUCUUGUACUUCCUCCAGCAAAGCCACACUACAACCCAAACAGAAAUAUCAGUCAGGGACCAAGUGUUCAAAUGCCUGAAGCUACUGUGGACAUUUCUCAUUAAAACCAUUACACCUCUAUAUCGGAUGCCCACUCUACCUGGUUAAAAUUCUGCUUAACUACUCAAUGCAAAAAGAAGUUAUUUCUUAACUUGCAAGGGAAUUCCUUAAUCUUUUUGAAAAUUAGUUUUCUCACCCAAUAACUAAGGGAGAAAAACAAACACUUUAAUAUAAACAACUUUGUUUCUUUCUUUCUUCCUCUCACUCUCUCUUUCUUUCUUUCUUCCUUCCUUCCUUCUUUUUUUUAAAAGAAAAUGCAUAUAUCAAAACUUGUGAACAUCUGCUUCCAUAGGUUGCAAAGACAACCUAAUGUUUAUUUAGAAUAUUCUAGAGAAUAAAACAUCUACCUACUUUUUUGUU
Molecule: long non-coding RNA, 1364 nt
Filed under: Mus musculus (house mouse)
Lineage: Eukaryota; Metazoa; Chordata; Mammalia; Rodentia; Muridae
Description: predicted gene, 33172
Source: RNAcentral